RNAcentral lists this ribosomal RNA (250 nucleotides) under uncultured bacterium. RNAcentral describes it as "partial 16S ribosomal RNA". It matches the Rfam family "Bacterial small subunit ribosomal RNA", at positions 1253 to 1502 of the family's 1533-position model. The record is from RNAcentral.
ACUUGCGAAAGUGAGCGAAUCCCAAAAAGUGCGUCGUAGUCCGGAUUGGAGUCUGCAACUCGACUCCAUGAAGUCGGAAUCGCUAGUAAUCGUGGAUCAGAAUGCCACGGUGAAUACGUUCCCGGGCCUUGUACACACCGCCCGUCACACCAUGGGAGUGGGCUGCAAAAGAAGUGGGUAGUUUAACCUUCGGGAGGACGCUCUUCACUUAGUGGUUCAUGACUGGGGUGAAGUCGUUACAAGGUAACCG